RNAcentral lists this transfer RNA (77 nucleotides) under Candidatus Cloacimonadota bacterium. RNAcentral describes it as "Candidatus Cloacimonetes bacterium tRNA-Val". It matches the Rfam family "tRNA". From Rfam's summary of the family: Transfer RNA (tRNA) molecules are approximately 80 nucleotides in length. The record is from RNAcentral. Lineage: Bacteria; Pseudomonadati; Candidatus Cloacimonadota.
GGGUGAUUAGCUCAGCUGGUUAGAGUGCUUCGUUGACAUCGAAGAGGUCACUAGUUCGAAUCUAGUAUUACCCACCA